GGAAGUAAAAGUCACAAGGUCUCCGUUGGUGAACCAGCGGAGGGAUCAUUACAGAGUUGCAAAACUCCCAAACCAUUGUGAACGUUACCUAUCCCGUUGCUUCGGCGGGCGGCCCGGGCCCCGCGCCCGGCGCCCCCCGGCCCCCCGUGGGCGCCCGCCGGAGGUAAACCAAACCCUUGAAUUGCAUGGCCUCUCUGAGUCUUCUGUACUGAAUAAGUCAAAACUUUCAACAACGGAUCUCUUGGUUCUG
Molecule: unclassified non-coding RNA, 250 nt
Filed under: plant metagenome
Description: partial contains small subunit ribosomal RNA, internal transcribed spacer 1, and 5.8S ribosomal RNA
Source: RNAcentral